UUAUUUACUCCUCUGGACGUUCCCCGUAACAGAUGAGGAAACUAGGACACGGAGCAGACAGGUGGCUGAAGGCAGGAUCUCCCAGACUUUGAUCAGGAAGAGUCUUUGCUGGCAGCGCAUCUAUCAAUGUCUCCAGAACAACGUUCCUCAUGGCACACUGAUCGAACGCGCUCCUCCUGCUCCACGUGUUCAAAACCAGCCUGAGCAUCCCGCAGCCCCGUCUGACUUCUUCUCCGAGUGGAUGAUGCUGCUGUUCGGCCCGGUCACCGAGAGGAACGUGCUCUUCCUCUCCCUCCUGUUGCAGCGUCUGAGCUUCAGGCACCUCUCACCUCUUACCUGGGCUCCUGGAGGAGCUUCUGUUUGGUCUGCCCAACUCCCGCGUUGCCCCUUCAAAUGCCCCCUCCACUCCGCAGCCACCAUGACCCUCGCUGACCCCCCGCUCUGCUGACGGCAGGUGCCCCCAAGUGUGUUUCCAAGAAGAUGCAAUCAGUGUGCUGUAUUCAGUGUUAUAUGAACACAAAGGUUUUCAUGGUCAUGAAGUUGGAGAAAAGAGGGAAAAUUAGUUAGGUUUAAUUACUUUCCAGAGUCUUCGACAUGCUAAAACACAUUUUGGAGCUCCAACUGGGGGGUGCUUAAUAAAACCUUUGGCAAACUUUCUAGCAACAAAGGUGUAGUUUUUUGGAAUACACUGGAUAUAGCUGUUCUACGAGCUGAAAUGUGAUUUCCUUGUCUUCUCUCAUUGCUUUUCAUCUCCAGCUACUCUUCUUGUGUAGACAGUGGGAGGACAGCAGUGUGGUACUCUGGAUUCAAGAACAGGAAGCUCUAAAUCUCAGCACAAGACUUUGGGUCCAACUCUUUACUUCCUCAGCACACGUGCUGGCCAGGCCCC
This 889-nucleotide long non-coding RNA is filed under the name Equus caballus (horse). Its description in RNAcentral is "lncRNA (ENSECAG00000058268.1)". Lineage: Eukaryota; Metazoa; Chordata; Mammalia; Perissodactyla; Equidae. The record is from RNAcentral.